Molecule: ribosomal RNA, 97 nt
Filed under: uncultured bacterium
Lineage: Bacteria
Description: partial 16S ribosomal RNA
Rfam family: Bacterial small subunit ribosomal RNA
Source: RNAcentral
CACACCGCCCGUCACAUCACGAAAGCCAUUUGUACUAGAAGCCGGCAAUUCAACCGCAAGGAGGUAGCCGUCCAAGGUAUGAAUGGUGAUUGGGGUG